UACGGAGGGGACUAGCGUUGUUCGGAAUUACUGGGCGUAAAGCGCACGUAGGCGGAUUUGUAAGUCAGGGGUGAAAUCCCAGGGCUCAACCUCGGAACUGCCUUUGAUACUGCAAAUCUCGAGUCCGGAAGAGGUGAGUGGAAUUCCUAGUGUAGAGGUGAAAUUCGUAGAUAUUAGGAAGAACACCAGUGGCGAAGGCGGCUCACUGGUCCGGUACUGACGCUGAGGUGCGAAAGCGUGGGGAGCAAACAGG
RNAcentral lists this ribosomal RNA (253 nucleotides) under uncultured bacterium. RNAcentral's name for it is "partial 16S ribosomal RNA". It matches the Rfam family "Bacterial small subunit ribosomal RNA", at positions 524 to 776 of the family's 1533-position model. The record is from RNAcentral.